Long non-coding RNA from Cercocebus atys (sooty mangabey), 1282 nucleotides. RefSeq lists it as uncharacterized. NCBI's taxonomy places the organism in Eukaryota, Metazoa, Chordata, Mammalia, Primates, Cercopithecidae. The record is from RefSeq and is a predicted model, not a curated record. The transcript has 2 exons.
UGACCUCGUGAUCCGCCCGCCUUGGCCUCCCAAAGGACCUUGAGAUUCUUAAGGGCAGGGACUGUAUCUUGCCCAUCUGAGUAGCUAUAAGGCCAAGCACAGUGCUGGGCAGAGUAGGGGCUUCCUACACAGUUAGAGAAUGAGAAUAAAAACUCACAGGACAUUAGCCGCUUUGAAAUUCACAUUAUUCUAUUUACACAGCCUUGUCUUUUACCUUGGCUCAAGCUAUUGCCCUCCUUGGACAUGAUCUCCCUUUCCAAGGUAACACCCUCCUUAGGACGCCAGCUCACAGUGACCCCUAGCACCUUUGGUGCCCUGCUGCCUUCCUUAUCUGCACCAUCCAUUAGUACUUUGCAUCAAGUGAUUGUAUUAUUAUUUGUCUUUGAUGAAAAUGUGUCUUUCAUUCAUUUAUUCACCCAUUUAAUAGCAACGUAUGUGAUGCAGGCACUAAAACUUAUUUUCUCUUUCUUUUCAAGCGCUGUUUCUAGGACCAUUGGAAAUUUGAAAGUCUAGGAGCAGAGCAAUUUGAUUUCGUGGAAAAUCCUAAGAUGGUGUUCAGGCCAUCACCGUCUAAACCUUCGAGUCGGGACAUAUUCACAUGUAAGUGUUGGGAUAAAAAGAAGAAUCAACACAAAAGGAUGGAAAGUCUAGUUCCUCCAAAGCUCAGAAGAGUGUGAAGGUGUUUUGUGGAAGAUUUAUCCUUUUUUGAUGAAGGCAGCAAAAUCCUCUGCACAGGUACACAUCAUUACUGGGUGUGAGUGUGGUGACUUAAAGAAAUCAGCAUCCCAAGUCACCUGGCAUGGUUUUCUCACUGUAUGACAGAAGUGAAUGCUGCAAAGCUGAAAAGGGCAGAAUUGAAGAAAAUGCCAGAGGGUCCAGAGAGCCCCAUCUACUUUAAUAAUUUGCCCAGAGAUUGCCCAGAUUUUUGAUCUGCUAUAUAUACAUACACAUGGAUAUGGAUAUAUAUCUAUCGCUCAAUCAAUCUAUCUGUAUUGUGCGAGGAAAAUAUUGAUAAUUUAUUUUUGGCAGAGACUCACCCACAAUGUCCUGCACAGAAUCAGUUUUCUUCUUGGCGGCAGAUCUUGUGCCUCAUUUCCAUUUAGAAAUUCUUUGACUUUUACUUUCUUUGCAUUUUCUGUUAACCGGCUGCCACCCAAGAUUGGAUGAAACCCUCUGCCCCCUGUUUAAAAAGAAAAAAAAGAAAAGAAAAAAAAAAACACCACAUACAACAUAACCCUCUAAUAAGUAUAUUCACAACUUCUAUGCAAGACGCUUAAGAAAA